This 400-nucleotide ribosomal RNA is filed under the name uncultured bacterium. RNAcentral describes it as "bacterial SSU rRNA". It matches the Rfam family "Bacterial small subunit ribosomal RNA", at positions 355 to 764 of the family's 1533-position model. The record is from RNAcentral.
UCGAGAAUCUUCGGCAAUGAGCGCAAGCUUGACCGAGCGACGCCGCGUGCGGGAUGAAGGCCUUCGGGUUGUAAACCGCUUUGGUCCGAAAGAAAGGGUAAAACUUGAUCGAUCGGAGAAACAAGGACGGGCUAAGUUCGUGCCAGCAGCCGCGGUAAGACGAACCGUCCAAACGUUAUUCGGAAUCACUGGGCUUAAAGGGCGCGUAGGCGGCCGAGCGGGUCGUGGGUGAAAUCCCCCAGCUUAACUGGGGAACUGCUUACGAUACCACUGCGGCUCGAGGAAGGAAGGGGCAAUGGGAACUGUCGGUGGAGCGGUGAAAUGCGUUGAUAUCGACAGGAACGCCUGUGGCGAAAGCGCAUUGCUGGUCCUUUUCUGACGCUGAGGCGCGAAAGCCAGG